RNAcentral lists this ribosomal RNA (117 nucleotides) under Escherichia coli. RNAcentral describes it as "partial 16S ribosomal RNA". It matches the Rfam family "Bacterial small subunit ribosomal RNA", at positions 1 to 108 of the family's 1533-position model. Lineage: Bacteria; Pseudomonadati; Pseudomonadota; Gammaproteobacteria; Enterobacterales; Enterobacteriaceae. The record is from RNAcentral. RNAcentral also lists the same sequence under 16 other names.
UUAAAUUGAAGAGUUUGAUCAUGGCUCAGAUUGAACGCUGGCGGCAGGCCUAACACAUGCAAGUCGAACGGUAACAGGAAGCAGCUUGCUGCUUCGCUGACGAGUGGCGGACGGGUG